RNAcentral lists this transfer RNA (77 nucleotides) under Methylocella sp. RNAcentral describes it as "tRNA-Arg". It matches the Rfam family "tRNA". Rfam says of the family: Transfer RNA (tRNA) molecules are approximately 80 nucleotides in length. Their secondary structure includes four short double-helical elements and three loops (D, anti-codon, and T loops). Lineage: Bacteria; Pseudomonadati; Pseudomonadota; Alphaproteobacteria; Hyphomicrobiales; Beijerinckiaceae. RNAcentral also lists the same sequence under 3 other names. The record is from RNAcentral.
GCGCCCGUAGCUCAGCUGGAUAGAGCACUAGACUACGAAUCUAGGGGCCGGGAGUUCGAAUCUCUCCGGGCGCGCCA